Molecule: ribosomal RNA, 253 nt
Filed under: uncultured bacterium
Lineage: Bacteria
Description: partial 16S ribosomal RNA
Rfam family: Bacterial small subunit ribosomal RNA
Source: RNAcentral
UACGUAGGGUGCGAGCGUUAAUCGGAAUUACUGGGCGUAAAGCGUGCGCAGGCGGUUAUAUAAGACAGAGGUGAAAUCCCCGGGCUCAACCUGGGAACUGCCUUUGUGACUGUAUAGCUUGAGUGCGGCAGAGGGGGAUGGAAUUCCGCGUGUAGCAGUGAAAUGCGUAGAUAUCGUCUGGAACGCCAAUGGUGCAGACAGGCUGCUGGGGAUGUACUGACGCUGAGGCACGAAAGCCAGGGGAGCAAACGGG